Non-coding RNA from Mycena epipterygia, 94 nucleotides. The record is from the annotation of a GenBank genome assembly. Lineage: Eukaryota; Fungi; Basidiomycota; Agaricomycetes; Agaricales; Mycenaceae.
GACCUGGAGGCGGAGUGGUUCGCGUCUGCUCAAAAUCAAUGUAUGGGAAGCAAUGCCCGUGCAGAAGAUCCCCGUUCGAUUCGGGGCUAGGUCA